This 2754-nucleotide long non-coding RNA is filed under the name Bos grunniens (domestic yak). RNAcentral's name for it is "lncRNA (ENSBGRG00000013729.1)". The record is from RNAcentral. Lineage: Eukaryota; Metazoa; Chordata; Mammalia; Artiodactyla; Bovidae.
AUGGAGGAUCAGUUUAUGAAGCAGUUACUUUUCAGCCUUCUAUUCCCAGACCAUCAAUUAUUGAAAUGCCAGUGGAAGAAGAGGGAUCCCCAAGAGAACCACAGUGCCUCAGGGUGGAACCGAAGAUGGCAGCAGGUAGAGUCCAUCCAUGGCAACGCCUCCUUUCCUGGGCUGCUGUUGUUGACAGCAGGGCUCAAAGAAUCAAAAGCUUUGCAGAUCACAAAGAAAAUUUGUAUGUUUCCAUUGAUUGGAAACAUGACUAGAAAUGUCUUUUGUGAUGUAUGCCAGGCACGACAUCUGGACAGUCUGGUCAUGGUGCAAAAAAUAGCUUCUCUUUUUCUUCUUUCUUCUAAUGAUUUCAGUGCUUGCUGAACAAAUACUUGCAAUGAAGUAGAUGAUGAUAAUGAUGAAGAAAUUUCAAAUUUAGUCAUACUAAAAUAAGUAGUGCACUUUUUCUGAAGUAUUUAUGAUUACCUUGGAAAAUGCUAUCUAGAUGCAUCUGCUUUUUAAAAAUGUGUAUAGUUAAAUACGCAGCUUUGCUAAAGAUAUUUACCCCAUCAUUGGACUUCAUAUGAGAUAAAAUGCAAAGGAAUAAAUGAGUCUAUACUUUAGUUUCUGCCUAUGAUUGGUAAUGAUAAUAAGAUGUAAUAGUCAUAAAAAUAAACAGUUGAAUGGACCUCAUAAAAUGAGAGCUAAAUCUUAAUACUCUCUGCUUCUAUUUUCCAAUGACUGUGAGGAGGGGUUAGAAGAGGUCUCCAGAUGUGUUUGCCACUGGCAGAGGCUCAUGUUCUUGUAAGUUAAUGAAAAUCAGGAGAGGAAUUAAGAAAAUUAAAAUGGUAAUGAAAAGAAUAUGCAAAGUGUGUGUGUGUGGGAUGGGGUGAACUGGCGCCUGUUCAGAUUUCCAUGGAGGAGAAAGAAUUAGGGAUUAACCAGCUCCAGCAUCUCCUCUAUGCCCCUCCCAAGUGUCUACCCCAUCAGAAACACUGUUUUAGGUUCAUGCUUCUUCUGACUUGCGCCUUGCAGAUUCUUGCAUGACUGGUUCCUUCUUCCAGUAGCUCUCAGCUGAAACAUCCAGUCCCAGAGGCUACUUUGUUGUUCCUUGAGAUCACUCUUCAUCUCAUUGUCCGUUUUAUUGGGUUGGCCCAAAAGUUUAAUUGGUUUUACUACAAGAUCUUAUGGGAAAAAACAAACAAACUUUUGAGCUAACCUAAUAUUUUUUUUCCAUAAUACUUAUUAUGGUCAAAUCAUCUUUCUAUGGAUUGGUUUCUUUCUUAAAUCUCAAGAGAUUGUAGCAUAGGAGUUGAGUCUGGAAGGACAGAUAUGAAAAUCUAUUUGUGAAAAGAAGUGCAUUAGCUGGGGUGUUUAUAAAGUGAAAACCAAAUACUGUAAAUUGACUCCAAAGGGAUAUCUAUUUGAAAUUCUGCUCCCCUGUUUUUGGCUGAUGAUCUGAUCCUUUGGUAUCUGUCACCUUAUCCUGAGGUCUAUGAUUUCUAUUUGCAGGGUAACCCAGGGUACAAUGACAGGUUAAUUGGGAGUGUGUUUAAAUAUCACCAGCUUUGCACUCUAAUGAUUCAGCAUCUAUGUAUGAUUGAAGUUUUUCUUAAUAAGUGAUCUGCCUAUAAUAGAUAGAACCCUAAUGCCUGCUCAGAAUCAGGUAGCAUCCCCUUGACUUUAUGGAUACAGUAGCUGAAUGGAUGGAGUAGCCCAUUUAAGUCCCUUUUAAUGUGAUACAGUAUGGGUUGCUGUCAACUGGUGCUCUGUUUCAGCAAGAUUAGCACUGGGAGAGUUCAUUAGGUGAAUGAGGUUUACCUUUGCCUUCAGCCUGCCCUUCUGGUGCCCUGCACCUCCUAGUGAGGUUCCUCCUCACUACUCACCCCUGAUUUCUCUGCCUUCAGAAGAACGUGCAGUUAGGCACAUAAACCUUAGUCCAUGUUAAUUCACAUCAUUGUGUUGCUUCUUCUUCAGCCUAUUGCUAUUUAAGCCACAGAGCUACCUGUGGAAUGAAAAAUGUGGCAGUUGUUAAACACAUCAGCAAACAGAAAAGAAAAAGGACACUUCUGGAUACAAUCACAAUGCCUGUGGAACCACUUUCUUAGGCUGAGCAUUGAAUGGCCCUGAGUCAUGGGAAUACUCUGCAAAGAUUUCAUUAGAGUGUUUCUUCAGAGCAGGAAUUGUGUCUCUUUACAAGUGAGUGCUCCAGCACUAAGUUGUGUCUGGCUCUCUGUGACCCUUUCGACAAUAGCCCAACAGGUUCCUUUGUCCUUGGGGUUAUCCUGGCAAGGGUACUAGAGUAGGUUGGCAUUUCCUCCUCCAGGAGCUCUUCCUGACCCACACCUCCUGCACGGGCAGGUGGAUUCUCUACCACUGAGCCACCUGGGAAGCACAUUUACAAGUGAGGUUAAAUCCUUUAUUGAAAGACACCAUUUUCAAGACUUAUAACUUCUUUCUGAUAUAAUGUUCAAGGCAAAAUAAAGGAUGGAAAGCUGAACUGAAGUGAAGCUUAUCACCCUGCACAGGGAAAAGGAAGAAUGAGUGAUAGACCCAUGAGAUGGAGGUAUCACGGAGAAGAAUUUCCAUAACUUAAGAGCCCUUUGAUAUGACCAUGACAUCACUUCCAUAAUAGAGAAAAAAUAAAUAUGCUUUACUGAUAGUGACAAGGAAGAGGGCAUAAUUUCUGCGAGGAGAACUCUACAUCAGCAAAAGGGCUGACAGUAUCACCCAAUUCAGUUUGGCUCAGUUCAGUCACUCAGUCGU